RNAcentral lists this transfer RNA (62 nucleotides) under Trigonopterus sp. 6 AH-2016. Its description in RNAcentral is "tRNA-Gly". Lineage: Eukaryota; Metazoa; Arthropoda; Insecta; Coleoptera; Curculionidae. The record is from RNAcentral.
AUUUGUGUAAUAUAAUUAUUAUAAUUGACUUCCAAUCAAUAAAUCUACGUGUAGUACAAAUA